Molecule: non-coding RNA, 2343 nt
Filed under: Candidatus Hamiltonella defensa 5AT (Acyrthosiphon pisum)
Lineage: Bacteria; Pseudomonadati; Pseudomonadota; Gammaproteobacteria; Enterobacterales; Enterobacteriaceae
Source: RNAcentral
GUGCGACGUGAAAGUUGCACCACAGAAGUCCCUUGAAUCAGGGUAAGGUUGAUCCGAAACCUUAUUGUCACUUUCUCGGUGCAAGAGGAGUAAUUCUCUUGUUCUAAGCGAGAAUGAAAGCCUAACUAAAGUAUUAAGCUGAAUAAGAAAUAGGGGCUAGGCAAAAUUGAAAUGGGCUGAAUAAAGUGAAUCUCCGUGAUUAAAAUGUCGUCAGCAACGAAAACACGAAAUCAGAUGUGACGUGUUAAGGGGAAAUUUAACGACAGUUAGAAACGGGUAAAGAAGAGUGUUCGUUCUUUACAACGGAUCCCGUUCCCCGGCAUAGAGGAGGCAACCCAUUCAAUGUAUCUUCAUGGUGUGAAACACGGUAACCCCAUUAAUCUCUUCAUGUUCAUGUAAAUAUGAAAGAGACAGUGGGCAUAAGACGUUCCAAGAAGCGAAGGCUAUCAUCCGAAAGGGAACGGGAAAUCAUAACAGGAUUGAUAGAGGUAACUACCUCACUCUGAAAAGAGGCUGACGUGGAACGGGUGACUUACCCAUAGGAUCCUUUAUUAAGAUUAUGAAUUGAUUUAGAAGAGUUAGAUGUCAAUGACAAACGUAAUAAAUCAAAACCAUGAACAACUGGAAUGGCACGCCAUCAACUGGCGUGUUGUGACAACCAUGAUUAAUAAUCUAAGACAAAGGAUAUAUAGGGCUUCAGCAACAGGUGACUUAAAGAAAGUCAGAAAUUUGCAAAAACUCAUGAUGAAAUCAAGAGCUAAUCAUCUUCUGGCUAUCAGGAAAGUCACACAGAUCAAUCGGGGAAAACACACAGCUGGAGUAGAUAAUCAGGUCAUUGAUGACCAUAAAGGACGAGAACACCUUUAUAAGUUAUUAAGCCAAACAACUUCAGAAAAGAUUUAUCCAGUAAAACGGGUCUACAUAGCAAAAAGAAUAGGAAAAAGCGCCCUCUUGGGAUCCCAACUAUUCUCGAACGAUGUAAACAAGCGAUAGUUAAAUCAGCGCUGGAACCUUAUUGGGAAGCAAAAUUUGAACCAGUCAGUUACGGAUUUAGACCAGGACGAAGUGCUCAUGACGCAAUACAAAAAAUUUUCUGUAUUGCCAGGGCACGGGGGACAAGGCAUUGGGUACUGGAUGCAGAUAUUAAAAGCGCAUUUGACAACAUUGACCAUAAUUUUCUCAUAAAAACAAUCGGGGGAUUUCCCGAAAGAAACAUGAUUAAAAAAUGGCUACAAGCCGGUGUGCUGGAACAUGGCAACUAUAUACCCAGUGUUGCAGGUACUCCAUAAGGAGGGAUUAUCAGUCCACUACUGGCCAAUAUUGCACUCCACGGAAUGGAAACCUUGCUGGGUAUUCAAUACUGGAAAAAUGGCAAGCCAAAACAAGGCCAACCUUAUGCAGUAGUGCGCUAUGCGGAUGAUUUUGUUGUAUUAGGUAAAUCCCGUGAAGAAUGCGAAACAGCUAAAAUAAAGUUGCGAAGUUGGUUAGCACAGAGAGGGUUAGCCCUUUCGGAAGAAAAAACCAGUAUCAAACACCUGAAGGAAGGAUUCGACUUCUUGGGAUUUAAUAUACGACAUUAUGAAAAUCGCCACAGAAAGCGGGGAUAUGUGUUGUUAAUGAAACCGUCAAAGGAGUCGAUUAAAAGGUACAGACAGCAAAUGAGAAUGACCUGGAAAAGGAUCAUUGGCAUGCCGACAAAAGAAGGCAUAAUGCAGCUGAAUGAAAAAAUAAUAGGAUGGUGUAAUUACUAUCGUAUUGGUGCGUCAAAACAGACAUUCAGUGCAAUAGACCAAUGGAUGUGGAUUCGCCAAUGUAGAUAUCUGUAUCGACGUCAUCCCAAUAAACAUUGGUGGUGGCGAAGAAAACACUAUUUAGGCAAGAUACCAGGUAGAGAAGACUAUUCAGUAUUUAUGGAUAAAUCAAACGGUGGAUUUCUCUGGAAGCAUGCAUGGACAAAAAUACAGCGUCAUUGGCUAGUUACCAAGAAUGCUUCCCCCGAUAAUCCUGAAUUGCGUGAUUAUUGGCGUCAUAGGCAGGCACGUAAGCAGCCUUUUAUUUACGGUGUCAAAGUUAACCUCUAUAAGCGACAGAAAGGUUAUUGUCCUCUCUGUGAUCAAGAGCUGGACAAUGGUGAACAAUUACAUGUUCAUAAUAUUCAGCCCAAAGCUGAAGGGGGUGAUAACAAGCUAGCUAAUUUAAGAUUGUUACAUGCUAAUUGCCACAGACAAUUACAUAGCAAAAAAGGAAAAAUGUUGAAGUCAGUAAGUUGCGUGAGCCGUAUGCGGGGUAACUCGCACGUACGGUUCUUGAGGGAGUGGGCACUUUCGGCCUGCUUACCUAAUC